GUGUUGGUGUAGCUUAAUCAUUUACGUGUGGUAGUCGUUAGUUUCUUGCCUUUAUUUGUGGAGAAUCGAUAUUUUAAGUAAAAAAUUGAACCUUGUGAGGAUAAGUAAAAUAAUGAAAGUUUAUUAUUGGGUUAUAGUUAAGUUUGUACUGGGUAGGAUAGUUAUUUAAAUCGAUAUAAAGAAAAUCUUAAGAUUUGUACCUUUUGUAUCAGGGACAAUCAAAAUGCUUAAUUUAUUAAUUAAGAUCUCGAAGCGGAAUGAGCGAGCAAGCUAUAAAUGUUUAUGUGGAAUAAUGAAAUUAUUAAUAGCUUGUUAGUGAUGAAACGUCAAUCGACUUCUGUAUAUCUAGUUUUUCUUGAAAAAAAUUUAAUUUGACCUCCUAUCAAAACCGGUGGGAGUUGGAGUUUAAGAGGGAAGAGCUUCUUAAAACUAAGACAUAGCAAGUAAAAUUAUAUUCUCUUCUAUUUAGGCUUAAGAUCAGCCAUUUUUUUAAACCGUUCUAGAUAAUAAGGACUUGAAUAUUUAUUUGUAUUUUGUUUGUUAUAGGGUAGAGAAAAAUUGAUUUUAACUUGUUUUGUUAUGUUAUAAUGUUUGUAUUAGUAAAUUAAUUUGUGAGUUGGUUAUUUUAAUUCUGUAUUAAAAUUUUUUGAUUUAUAGUUGAUGAGUUAAAGAAUUCGGCAAAUAUUACUUCUGCCUGUUUAUCAAAAACAUGUCUGUGCGAUAGGUUGAUGUGCAGUCUGGCCUGCCCCCUGAGAGUUUUAAAGGGCCGCGGUAUUUGGACCGUGCUAAGGUAGCAUAAUAAAUAGUCUCUUAAUUGGAGUCUGGAAUGAAUGGUCGGACAUGAAGUAAGCUGUUUUAAUUUUUACGUUUGAAUUUUACUUUUAAGUGAAAAGGCUUAAAUUAUAUGGUGGGACGAUAAGACCCUAUAAAGCUUUACGUUUUAUUCUUCAGUUGUGGGAGUUCAGGUUUCUUGUUCUUAUUGAGUAGAGCGUUUCGUUGGGGCGACGGGAAUAUAAAUAAGUAACUGUUUUUAUUUGAAAAAUACAUUUUUAUAGGUGAAUUGAUCCUUUUUAGAGAUUAUAAGAUUUAAGUUACUUUAGGGAUAACAGCGUAAUUUAUCUUGAGAGUUCAUAUCGACAGAUGUAGUUGCGACCUCGAUGUUGAAUUAAAAUGUCCCUAAGAUGUAGCAGUUUUAGCGGUGGGUCUGUUCGACCUUUAAAAUUUUACAUGAUUUGAGUUCAGACCGGCGUAAGCCAGGUUAGUUUCUAUCUUUCAUUUUAUAUUAUGGUUAUUUUAGUACGAAAGGAGAGAGUAGCCGAAAAAGUUUUUUUAGCAGAUGAUCGGUA
Molecule: ribosomal RNA, 1346 nt
Filed under: Caridina gracilipes
Lineage: Eukaryota; Metazoa; Arthropoda; Malacostraca; Decapoda; Atyidae
Description: 16S ribosomal RNA
Rfam family: Bacterial large subunit ribosomal RNA (bases 882-1279)
Source: RNAcentral